This 425-nucleotide ribosomal RNA is filed under the name uncultured bacterium. RNAcentral's name for it is "partial 16S ribosomal RNA". It matches the Rfam family "Bacterial small subunit ribosomal RNA", at positions 354 to 796 of the family's 1533-position model. The record is from RNAcentral.
GUUAGGAAUAUUGGACAAUGGGCGAAAGCCUGAUCCAGCCAUGCCGCGUGAACGAUGAAGGCCUUCGGGUUGUAAAGUUCUUUAGCCGAUGAUUAUAAUGACUGUAGUCGGAAAAUAAGCCCCGGCUAACUUCGUGUCAGCAGCCGCGGUAAUACGAAGGGGGCGAGCGUUAUUCGGAAUCACUGGGCGUAAAGCGUGCGUAGGCGGCUUUGCAAGUUGGGAGUGAAAGCCCAGGGCUCAACCCUGGAAUUGCUCUCAAAACUGCAAGGCUCGAAUUCGGGAGAGGAUAGCGGAAUUGUCAGUGUAGCAGUGAAAUGCGUAGAUAUUGACAGGAACACCAGUGGCGUAAGCGGCUAUCUGGACCGAUAUUGACGCUGAGGCACGAAAGCGUGGGGAUCAAACAGGAUUAGAAACCCGUGUAGUCC